Molecule: non-coding RNA, 88 nt
Organism: Massarina eburnea CBS 473.64
Lineage: Eukaryota; Fungi; Ascomycota; Dothideomycetes; Pleosporales; Massarinaceae
Source: the annotation of a GenBank genome assembly
GGUGGUGUGUUCUAGUGGUAUGAAUUCACGUUGUGGAAUAAAACCUACAGCGUCCGUGACAGCCUGGGUUCGAUUCCCAGCACCGCCA